This 652-nucleotide ribosomal RNA is filed under the name Rhodococcoides fascians. RNAcentral describes it as "bacterial SSU rRNA". It matches the Rfam family "Bacterial small subunit ribosomal RNA", at positions 186 to 853 of the family's 1533-position model. The record is from RNAcentral. Lineage: Bacteria; Bacillati; Actinomycetota; Actinomycetes; Mycobacteriales; Nocardiaceae.
GCAUGUGCUGGGGUGGAAAGCUUUUGUGGUGCAGGAUGGGCCCGCGGCCUAUCAGCUUGUUGGUGGGGUAAUGGCCUACCAAGGCGACGACGGGUAGCCGACCUGAGAGGGUGACCGGCCACACUGGGACUGAGACACGGCCCAGACUCCUACGGGAGGCAGCAGUGGGGAAUAUUGCACAAUGGGCGGAAGCCUGAUGCAGCGACGCCGCGUGAGGGAUGAAGGCCUUCGGGUUGUAAACCUCUUUCAGCAGGGACGAAGCGUGAGUGACGGUACCUGCAGAAGAAGCACCGGCUAACUACGUGCCAGCAGCCGCGGUAAUACGUAGGGUGCGAGCGUUGUCCGGAAUUACUGGGCGUAAAGAGUUCGUAGGCGGUUUGUCGCGUCGUUUGUGAAAACCCGGGGCUCAACUUCGGGCUUGCAGGCGAUACGGGCAGACUUGAGUGUUUCAGGGGAGACUGGAAUUCCUGGUGUAGCGGUGAAAUGCGCAGAUAUCAGGAGGAACACCGGUGGCGAAGGCGGGUCUCUGGGAAACAACUGACGCUGAGGAACGAAAGCGUGGGUAGCAAACAGGAUUAGAUACCCUGGUAGUCCACGCCGUAAACGGUGGGCGCUAGGUGUGGGUUCCUUCCACGGGAUCUGUGCCGUAGCU